CGCUCAGAUCCAGUCCCAAGAGGCUGCCAGAGUCGCUGUUUGGGCUUCCGGUUCCGCCGGCGAAGAAGGCCAGCAUCCAUGGAGGUCGUGGGAGGGCAGAAGAUCAGUCUGAUUCGGUGCUCGGAGCUCCGCCUGUUAGGCAAGUUCUCUCUCCACAGCCAUCUGCAACUAGUGGUAUGGGAGCCUUCACAGUGCCUGCUAGUACAGGGAGAGGAAGGACUUUGGACGGUUCUUCGCCUUUUGGAUCCGCAACAUCUCAGGGUGGCUACCAUCGAUAUCGCUAUAGCAGAUGGGAUAUUCCUCCGGCCAGGGGAUAUGGAGGUUUGUGUUCCAAUAUGCAUGGGGUUAUGCGCAAUCGCGCUUGUUCCUCCACUUGGAAGCGUGACAGUGGAAAAGGUCUGCAUGUUGAUAUGGGCGAACAUAGCCCCAGAAUUCAAACCGCAAUGAAAAAACAAGAUGACUUUAGUUCCUCUGGCCAAGGCAAUACAUUGGAUCUUCGGAAUGAUCAAGUUGGAGAAAACAUGGAAUUGAAUGUUGGUAUGGAUAAGAGGGUGGCUGAAUCCUUUCCUCGGGCAGCGGCGCAUGGCCCUAACGCGCCUCGGGCGCCAUGAAAGCAAUAGCAUGGAAUUGCCGAGGUAUGGGCCGAGACCUUGGCAAUGAUCGAAUGUUGUUCCUGGCCAAUCUGGUUCGCUCUACAAAAGCUCAGAGGGGCUUCAGGAGGGCUCUGGCUUAUGUGGAAUGACGAUCUUAAGGUUUCUGUUCGUAGUUCUUCCUUCCACUUUAUCUUAGCGGAUGUAGUUCAUCUAGCCUCGGGGGUUCACUUUUGUUUGGUUUGUAUAUAUGGUGACCCCUACCAUAGGCAGACUAGUGACAUUUGGAAUCAGAUCUCCACUUUUGUGUAUGAUAACUUUGGCAAACCCAUGAUCUGUAUGGGUGAUCUUAACGAUAUUUUGUAUGA
This is a long non-coding RNA of Triticum aestivum (bread wheat), 958 nucleotides long. RefSeq lists it as uncharacterized. NCBI's taxonomy places the organism in Eukaryota, Viridiplantae, Streptophyta, Magnoliopsida, Poales, Poaceae. The transcript has 2 exons. The record is from RefSeq and is a predicted model, not a curated record.